Molecule: ribosomal RNA, 479 nt
Filed under: uncultured organism
Description: partial 16S ribosomal RNA
Rfam family: Bacterial small subunit ribosomal RNA
Source: RNAcentral
CGUACACUCCUACGGGAGGCAGCAGUGGGGAAUUUUGGACAAUGGGCGAAAGCCUGAUCCAGCAAUGCCGCGUGCAGGAUGAAGGCCUUCGGGUUGUAAACUGCUUUUGUACGGAACGAAAAAGCUCCUUCUAAUACAGGGGGCCCAUGACGGUACCGUAAGAAUAAGCACCGGCUAACUACGUGCCAGCAGCCGCGGUAAUACGUAGGGUGCGAGCGUUAAUCGGAACUACUGGGCGUAAAGCGUGCGCAGGCGGUUAUGUAAGACAGAUGUGAAAUCCCCGGGCUCAACCUGGGAACUGCAUUUGUGACUGCAUGGCUAGAGUACGGUAGAGGGGGAUGGAAUUCCGCGUGUAGCAGUGAAAUGCGUAGAUAUGCGGAGGAACACCGAUGGCGAAGGCAAUCCCCUGGACCUGUACUGACGCUCAUGCACGAAAGCGUGGGGAGCAAACAGGAUUAGAAACCCGAGUAGUCCCAUGA